UACAGAGGGUGCAAGCGUUGUUCGGAAUUACUGGGCGUAAAGCGCGCGCAGGCGGCCAUUCAAGUCAGGGGUGAAAGCCCAGAGCUCAACUCUGGAACUGCCCUUGAAACUGUAUGGCUUGAGUAUGAGAGAGGUGAGUGGAAUUCCCAGUGUAGAGGUGAAAUUCGUAGAUAUUGGGAAGAACACCGGUGGCGAAGGCGGCUCACUGGCUCAUUACUGACGCUCAGGCGCGACAGCGUGGGGAGCAAACAGG
Molecule: ribosomal RNA, 253 nt
Filed under: uncultured bacterium
Lineage: Bacteria
Description: partial 16S ribosomal RNA
Rfam family: Bacterial small subunit ribosomal RNA
Source: RNAcentral